CACAACGGACAGGUUGUCUCAUAGCUUUUUGCCCUUGUGCCAUAUUUUUAAAAUCAGGCAUACUGAUAGCACAACUUUUUUUAAGCAGAUAUAUCACCGCCUCUCCAGACAUUAAAUGGAUCCAUCGAGCCGGAACAUGAAUAUGAUGCUAGCUUGUUCCAACCUGCACACCCUGAUUUACAAGAAUAUGAUGAAGAAGAAGGUGGGUUUAUUUAUAAUUCAUAUAUCAAUUACUUUUUUUACCAAUGCUGAUGCCAUCCUGCCAUGCACCAUGUAACAGAUCACCUGGAAGACAUGGAAGAUGAGAUUGAGGACGAUGAAACUAGGCAAUUUUGUGGGGAAGGUACCUCUUUCGUAAAUUGUACCCGGAAUCAUCGUGUCUUAAAAUUUUAGUAAAAUUUACUAUGUGUAUUCAAAGAAAUUUCAUACCUUUCAUGCAGAAGAAGGGUUCGAGUCAUACCGUAUAUAUGCCAAUGGCACUGCUGAUAAUGACACGGAUGAUCCUUACGAC
RNAcentral lists this long non-coding RNA (511 nucleotides) under Sorghum bicolor (sorghum). RNAcentral describes it as "long non-coding RNA (SBIC_LNC016470)". Lineage: Eukaryota; Viridiplantae; Streptophyta; Magnoliopsida; Poales; Poaceae. The record is from RNAcentral.